RNAcentral lists this long non-coding RNA (750 nucleotides) under Salmo salar (Atlantic salmon). RNAcentral's name for it is "lncRNA (ENSSSAG00000101966.1)". The record is from RNAcentral. Lineage: Eukaryota; Metazoa; Chordata; Actinopteri; Salmoniformes; Salmonidae.
CAACAGUAAAGAGGCGACUCCGGGAUACUGGCCUUCUAGGCAGGGUUGCAAAGAAAAAGACAUAUCUCAGACUGGCCAAUAAAAAGAAAAGAUUAAGAUGCGCAAAAGAACACAGACACUGGACAGAGGAACUCUGCCUAGAAGGCCAGCAUCCCGGAGUCGCCUCUUCACUGUUGAAAUUGAGACUGGUGUUUUGCAGAUCUGCCAAUCUGCUCGGUGGAGUGUUCCAGGCCUGGAGUGGCAUGCUGGAACUUCCAGAGUCUUGUAGAGCUGAAGCAGUGUGAUGUGGUCCAGAGGGAUGAGGACUGAGGAGCCCUGUGAGCAGCCAGUCAAGCCCCCAGGUCUUGCCCCAGCCCAAGACCAGCGCCGGGCCCAGCCCCGGUCCACUCAGCUUUACCUUGCUCUGCGGAGGGGGAACAGCCAGAGAGAGAGAGAGAGAGAGAGAGAGAAAGAAAAAGAAAAUGUGGCGAAUCGCAUCUCUGCAUGUCUGGCAGACAUAUCAGUGUGGAUUUCGAAUCACCACCUCAAGCUGAACCUCGGCAAGACGGAGCUGCUCUUCCUCCCGGAGAAGGACUGCCCGUUCCAUGAUCUCGCCAUCACGGUUGACAACUCCAUUGUGUCCUCCUCCCAGAGUGCUAAGAGCCUUGGCGUGACCCUGGACAACACCCUGUCGUUCUCCGCUAAAAUCAAGGCGGUGACCUGAUCCUGUAGGUUCAUGCUCUACAACAUUCGCAGAGUACGACCCUGCCU